Molecule: non-coding RNA, 381 nt
Organism: Pelobates cultripes (western spadefoot toad)
Lineage: Eukaryota; Metazoa; Chordata; Amphibia; Anura; Pelobatidae
Source: the annotation of a GenBank genome assembly
UUGAAAUUUGGAAUCUAUUGGAGUGCCUGGAUUAUUUCUACAAUUGUCUAUUAUUGGUCCUAUUUGGGUACUGGGACUUUCCAAGAAGCACCCUGGAAUCCAUAGUGAGGGGUAGAGUGCGCUUCCAACUUUGAUCAUAUUGCAUCUAGUAAUAUGUGCUAUGUGUGCUUUAAUGCUUACCAGUGCCAUCUUAACUAUCUAUAAAUGUUUGAGUUGCUCAAUAGUGAUCAAUCAAUCAUACUUAAUUAAUAUGAAAUAUUAUCACACUUGGCUGUGUGUUUUGGGUCAUUGUCAUGCUGGAAUACCAAUCCACGACCUAUUUUCAAUGCCCUGGCUGAUUCAUUGACCCGUCCAUCGUCCCUUUGAUGCGGUGCAGUUGUC